Long non-coding RNA from Parus major (Great Tit), 318 nucleotides. RefSeq lists it as uncharacterized. NCBI's taxonomy places the organism in Eukaryota, Metazoa, Chordata, Aves, Passeriformes, Paridae. The transcript is spliced from 3 exons. The record is from RefSeq and is a predicted model, not a curated record.
UGGGUCCAGGGGAAGGAUCUGACUUCUGGAUGUGGACCCCCUGAGGCACCAGUACAGGAUCAAAAGAUAGAUAAAUAUUUGGAUUUAGACUAGAGAAGCUGCACUUACCUACCUUGAGGACUCUGUUCAGGAUCUGCACAGCUCAGUGGAGAUGGUGUGGAGAUAUUGCUUGCUGCUGGAAAUAUCUAGGUGAUCUCCUGAUCUCCUCAUAGUCUUUGAGCACAACUUUGGCAUAACUGGAAAUCUUCUCCUGGUGGAAAAAGAGAUGGUGGUGUGGCUGAACAACAGUCAUGCUGCUGUGGAAGGCUGCUCAGACGA